GGUCAGGAUAGCUCAGUUGGUAGAGCAGAGGACUGAAAAUCCUCGUGUC
This 49-nucleotide transfer RNA is filed under the name Aristida perniciosa. Its description in RNAcentral is "partial tRNA-Phe". It matches the Rfam family "tRNA", at positions 1 to 46 of the family's 71-position model. From Rfam's summary of the family: Transfer RNA (tRNA) molecules are approximately 80 nucleotides in length. Their secondary structure includes four short double-helical elements and three loops (D, anti-codon, and T loops). Lineage: Eukaryota; Viridiplantae; Streptophyta; Magnoliopsida; Poales; Poaceae. The record is from RNAcentral.